Molecule: ribosomal RNA, 285 nt
Filed under: Triticum aestivum (bread wheat)
Lineage: Eukaryota; Viridiplantae; Streptophyta; Magnoliopsida; Poales; Poaceae
Description: partial small subunit ribosomal RNA
Source: RNAcentral
AUGGCCAAAUACAUGAGGAACGGUGUCCAAGCAGUUAUACUACUUUCUUUUGUCAUUGUGGUGUGCUUCGCCUGUCUUGGAUGUGCAAAGGGUGAAAGCAUCAACGACAAGGGGAGCAACGGGAUGAUCGAAGUAGUCCGGCCCCCUUGUUAUAAAGACCAUCACCAGCCCUCAAGCCUGCAAUAUUGUUGUCAAACGGAUAAGAUAUGUUGGGUAGACCUCGGGGAAUGCUUCACAAACUGCCCGUGCAAGAUUAAUUGCCCACUGCCACCAGCAACACAGUAG